Long non-coding RNA from Bradysia coprophila, 266 nucleotides. The record is from RefSeq and is a predicted model, not a curated record. NCBI's taxonomy places the organism in Eukaryota, Metazoa, Arthropoda, Insecta, Diptera, Sciaridae.
UUUACGGAAAUGAAAGAAGUUCAACAAUAUUACACUAGAAGAGUAUUGGAAAAUUUAAAAAAUAUUGGCGGACAUCCGAUAAUUUGGCAUGAUCCGAUAGAGUUUGGUGUAGUACCUGAAAAAGAUGUGAUUCUUCAAGUAUGGAAAGGAGGUAGUGAGGAUGAUCCGUGGGAACCAUAUAUGGAGAGAGCAAUAAAAGGUGGAUAUCAAGUGUUGUUGUCAUCGUGUUGGUAUUUGAAUUAUAUAAAUUACGGAGAAAGUUGGAA